RNAcentral lists this ribosomal RNA (765 nucleotides) under Nitrospirota bacterium. Its description in RNAcentral is "Nitrospirae bacterium partial 23S ribosomal RNA". It matches the Rfam family "Bacterial large subunit ribosomal RNA", at positions 1633 to 2197 of the family's 2925-position model. Lineage: Bacteria; Pseudomonadati; Nitrospirota. The record is from RNAcentral.
GCGAGGCCACCGUACCGUAAACCGACACAGGUGGAUAGGGCGAGAAGCCCAAGGGGAACGAGUGAUUUGCCUCUAAGGAACUCGGCAAAAAAGCGGCCGUAAGUUAGCGAUAAGGCCUGCUCUUUUUCAAGCGCCGCAAGGCGUGCGGGAAAGAGCCGCAGCGAAAGUCUCUCUGGCGACUGUUUACCAAAAACACAGCUCCCUGCUAACUCGCAAGAGGAUGUAUAGGGGGUGACGCCUGACCGAUGCGAGAAGGUUAAGACUGAGUGUGGUUUGGAGUAAUCUGAAUUGCUCAUUGGUUGAAGCCCUCGUCAAUGUCGGCGAUAACUAUAAUCGUCCAAAGGUUCUCGGCUGAACCAUUUUAGGUUGAACCGAGAAGGAUUCGGACGAUUAUAGGCGCAAAAAGCUACCUUGCUUUGUGGCAACACAAAGAAAUCCUAGAAAUCACAACGUGGCUCCAAGAGGCCAUACACCACGCUCCGAAUAAAAUCGGAUGAAGACAUGGUCCUUCUUUGAGGAAUAGAAGAGCGCAAUUCCUUUUCGGGUAAGUUCCGAAGCGCACGAAAGGCGUAACGACCGGAGAACUGUCUCAGCGGCAUGCUCGGUGAAAAUGCGAUUCCCGUGAAGACGCGGGAUACCUGUAGCGGGACGAAAAGACCCCGGAAGCUUUACUGCAGCCUGGUAUUGAUUUUAUGGUUUUACUACGUAGCGUAGUGGUGAGGAUUUGAAGUGCUACUUUCGGGUGGCAUGGAUCCGACAAUGAAA